GACGAACGCUGGCGGCGUGCUUAACACAUGCAAGUCGAACGGUGAAGCGCCUUCCUUUUUGGUGGGUGUGGAUGAGUGGCGAACGGGUGAGUAACACGUGAGUAACCUGCCCCCUUCUUCUGGAUAACCGCAUGAAAGUGUGGCUAAUACGGGAUAUUCUGGGUCUGUCGCAUGAUGGGUCUGGGAAAGAUAUUGUUUUGGUGGGUGAUGGGCUCGCGGCCUAUCAGCUUGUUGGUGGGGUGAUGGCCUACCAAGGCGGUGACGGGUAGCCGGCCGGAGAGGGUGGACGGUCACACUGGGGCGGAGACCCGGCCCAGACUCCUACGGGAGGCAGCAGUGGGGAAUAUUGCACAAUGGGCGCAAGCCUGAUGCAGCGACGCCGCGUGAGGGAUGGAGGCCUUCGGGUUGUGAACCUCUUUCGCCAGUGAAGCAGGCCUGCCUCGUUUGUGGGUGGGUUGACGGUAGCUGGAUAAGAAGCGCCGGCUAACUACGUG
Molecule: ribosomal RNA, 494 nt
Filed under: uncultured bacterium
Lineage: Bacteria
Description: partial 16S ribosomal RNA
Rfam family: Bacterial small subunit ribosomal RNA
Source: RNAcentral